Molecule: transfer RNA, 91 nt
Filed under: Chlamydiae bacterium CG10_big_fil_rev_8_21_14_0_10_35_9
Lineage: Bacteria; Pseudomonadati; Chlamydiota
Description: tRNA-Ser
Rfam family: tRNA
About the family: Transfer RNA (tRNA) molecules are approximately 80 nucleotides in length. Their secondary structure includes four short double-helical elements and three loops (D, anti-codon, and T loops). Further hydrogen bonds mediate the characteristic L-shaped molecular structure. tRNAs have two regions of fundamental functional importance: the anti-codon, which is responsible for specific mRNA codon recognition, and the 3' end, to which the tRNAs corresponding amino acid is attached (by aminoacyl-tRNA synthetases). tRNAs cope with the degeneracy of the genetic code in two manners: having more than one tRNA (with a specific anti-codon) for a particular amino acid; and 'wobble' base-pairing, i.e. permitting non-standard base-pairing at the 3rd anti-codon position.
Source: RNAcentral
GGAGGAGUGUCCGAGCGGCCGAAGGAGCACGCUUGGAAAGCGUGUGUGCGCCACAAACGUACCGUGGGUUCGAAUCCCACCUCCUCCGUCA